Molecule: transfer RNA, 73 nt
Filed under: Camelus dromedarius (Arabian camel)
Lineage: Eukaryota; Metazoa; Chordata; Mammalia; Artiodactyla; Camelidae
Also listed under: 1 other name
Rfam family: tRNA
About the family: Transfer RNA (tRNA) molecules are approximately 80 nucleotides in length.
Source: Rfam by way of RNAcentral
GAGGGUGUAGCUCAAGUCCUAGAGCACAUGCUUAGCAUGCACAAGGUCCUGGGUUCAACCCCCAGUACCUCCA